This is a non-coding RNA of Myotis davidii, 83 nucleotides long. The record is from Rfam. NCBI's taxonomy places the organism in Eukaryota, Metazoa, Chordata, Mammalia, Chiroptera, Vespertilionidae.
AGGCCUGCAGAGAGAGAGGCAGGGUCUGAUCUGUAGCCUCUGUGGCAGUUGUUGAUCAGAAGUUGCCUCUCUUUCUCUCCCUG